GCACCUAUAGCUCAACUGGAUAGAGUACUCGGUUGCGAACUGAGCGGUUAGGAGUUCAAGUCUCCUUGGGUGCACCA
This 77-nucleotide transfer RNA is filed under the name Rickettsiales bacterium. RNAcentral describes it as "tRNA-Arg". It matches the Rfam family "tRNA". From Rfam's summary of the family: Transfer RNA (tRNA) molecules are approximately 80 nucleotides in length. Their secondary structure includes four short double-helical elements and three loops (D, anti-codon, and T loops). Lineage: Bacteria; Pseudomonadati; Pseudomonadota; Alphaproteobacteria; Rickettsiales. The record is from RNAcentral.